RNAcentral lists this transfer RNA (72 nucleotides) under Candidatus Berkelbacteria bacterium. Its description in RNAcentral is "tRNA-Thr". It matches the Rfam family "tRNA". Rfam says of the family: Transfer RNA (tRNA) molecules are approximately 80 nucleotides in length. Their secondary structure includes four short double-helical elements and three loops (D, anti-codon, and T loops). Further hydrogen bonds mediate the characteristic L-shaped molecular structure. tRNAs have two regions of fundamental functional importance: the anti-codon, which is responsible for specific mRNA codon recognition, and the 3' end, to which the tRNAs corresponding amino acid is attached (by aminoacyl-tRNA synthetases). tRNAs cope with the degeneracy of the genetic code in two manners: having more than one tRNA (with a specific anti-codon) for a particular amino acid; and 'wobble' base-pairing, i.e. permitting non-standard base-pairing at the 3rd anti-codon position. Lineage: Bacteria; Candidatus Berkelbacteria. The record is from RNAcentral.
GCCAGGAUAGCUCAGGGGUAGAGCAACUCAUUGGUAAUGAGUAGGUCGUGGGUUCAAGUCCCACUCCUGGCU